AACGAACGCUGGCGGCAUGCCUAACACAUGCAAGUCGAACGAACCCUUCGGGGUUAGUGGCGCACGGGUGCGUAACGCGUGGGAAUCUGCCCUUUGCUUCGGAAUAACAGUUAGAAAUGACUGCUAAUACCGGAUGAUGUCUUCGGACCAAAGAUUUAUCGGCAAAGGAUGAGCCCGCGUAGGAUUAGGUAGUUGGUGGGGUAAAGGCCUACCAAGCCGACGAUCCUUAGCUGAUCUGAGAGGAUGAUCAGCCACACUGGGACUGAGACACGGCCCAGACUCCUACGGGAGGCAGCAGUGGGGAAUAUUGGACAAUGGGCGCAAGCCCUGAUCCAGCAAUGCCCGGCGUGAAGUGAUGAAGGCCUUUCGGGU
Molecule: ribosomal RNA, 372 nt
Filed under: Sphingomonas sp. oral taxon A66
Lineage: Bacteria; Pseudomonadati; Pseudomonadota; Alphaproteobacteria; Sphingomonadales; Sphingomonadaceae
Description: bacterial SSU rRNA
Rfam family: Bacterial small subunit ribosomal RNA
Source: RNAcentral